GUCAGAGUUCGGUCGGUGGGAUGGCGGUCUCCGUGCAGCGUGUAAUGUGUCUAUCCCGGCCAUGUCACAGAUAGCUGAUAGCGAUCACACCCAUAAUAAACAGACUGCUGAUAAUCACAUGCACUGUGUCCUGCCAGCCAAUGGACAGCCUCCCUGCUCGCUGGAUUUACUAAACAAAGUGUGAGGGCGGUAACUGUAACCCCUUCAUAGCCAGGACUGGCACAGCUACUGCGGUAACACACGGUGACUGUGUCUCUGACUGCACCAG
This is a non-coding RNA of Pelobates cultripes (western spadefoot toad), 268 nucleotides long. The record is from the annotation of a GenBank genome assembly. Lineage: Eukaryota; Metazoa; Chordata; Amphibia; Anura; Pelobatidae.